Meriones unguiculatus (Mongolian gerbil) is the source of this 3371-nucleotide long non-coding RNA. RefSeq lists it as uncharacterized. NCBI's taxonomy places the organism in Eukaryota, Metazoa, Chordata, Mammalia, Rodentia, Muridae. The transcript is spliced from 5 exons. The record is from RefSeq and is a predicted model, not a curated record.
AUUCACACACGUUGUUCUCCGUGCAGCUGACUUGGUGACAAUGCUUCUCCUGUUUUCUGCAUUCCUUCAUAUCAUGCUAGUAUGCUCUGGAGCAGCAAAGAGUUAGCACAGGACCAGCCAGCACACAAGUUUCAGACACGCGGAGCAUGCAAGCCGUGAAACAAGAGGGCCAAGGGGAAUGCCUGAUGACUAGUAUUCUGACAUUUUUAAAACAUUGACUACAAACUACAGUCAAAUGAGACAAUUUUACGUGGCAUUUUUCACCUGGAAAAAAUGUAUGCUUUCCUAAGAUAGCUCACAGUGUUGCAUGAUUCAGCUCUAUUUCCCACAUUAAGAUGGGUGCUGCCCAUUUACUGGGACUUGAGGUGAUGAGUCCUUGCCAGACCACAGAGGAAGAGGAUCCAGGCAGUCCUGAUGAGACUUACAAGCUAUGGGCAGAUGGCAAUGGGACUUCUUGUACAAAUUGAAUGGAAUUAGGUUUUAUUUAUUGAUUACUGGAGAAGAGUGACAGCUCUACUGUCUUCUGUGUUGUGAUCCAUACACAUGAGACGACUGCCCAUUUAGAUCUCUGGAUACAGAAGAUGAAGUAUUGAGUGAAAAUGAAAGUAGGUCUUUAUGUUGUAAACAUGAUAAGGAAAUCAACUUAUUUCACAAACUAAUCUGGGUUGAGGUAACACACACAAGCAUUUGUCUAAAAGUCACUGAUCUCACACUCUGUUAAAUCCUAUUGGUACUGUAGACUUAGAUGCUUGGGUUUCAGAUACAAGGGAGAAGAAAAAUUCCUUUAAAUUGGGGACACAAGGUUGAUUGUACACAUUGAUGCCAAGGGUUUGAAAACAACACGAGUUGAAUGCUUCUUUUAAUUCAAAGUCAUUGCUUUCCACAUUGCUAACAAGCAUUCUUUUUGCAGCAGACUAAACACCAGGGAGUGUUAAGAGGAAAAUAAUUCAUUUUAAGCCUUUUCAUACAGACUUUCCUUCUGAUAGCUUUGCCUUCAACAGAAUAUAUAGUUUGGUUCUUUCUACAUUGCUGAAGUAGGCAACAGCAUUUUAAGCCACUACUUAUAAAGUUAUCUGACAGCACCUAUGGCUUUGGAAUUUCUAAAGUGCAUGAAGUAUGGCAAUAACUACAUUUAUCGCUGGAUUUCAGAAUAAUACAUUUUAUACAAGUAUGGUGUAGUAGACAUUUCUGUGUUUUUUUUUUUGAAAGGAAUAAUAAAACACUUUAUACUCUUGCCACGUUGAGCAAAAGCCUGUGUUCCUUUAGAUUAAAGUAAGAAAAGAGGAACAGCUAUACCCUGUAAAUAAAAAAAAAAAAAAAUUGUAUCUGAUGCUCAGUGAGUAUGACUUAGACUAUUUUAAGGUGAUUUGGUACUAUGUCAAAAUCCUUUGCAAAUGUUAACUGUUCUAUAAAUGACACUGAUAACUUUAAUAACUUAGGUGCCAGAAUUUAAUUAUGCAAUUUAUAAAUCUUUAAGGAAAUCAUCCUUGACAAGGGGAAAAUUGAGAUAAUCCAAAAGUAAGAGGAGUGUUAUUUUGUUAUCUAAAAACAGAUACAAUGCAGAAAAGGCAACUCAUUCCCUGUAUGUGUUUGCUGACAUGAGUGGUGAAACCAAGGGGCAUAGAAAUGCCAGUAAAUGCUAGGUGUGCUUCCUCCUUUGGCAGUGGUGUAGCGAUUGCCAUUAAUGGAUGUCUUAUGAAAGAAAUAAAAUGAUAUUUAAUGGUUGCUCUUCUAGCACCCUCUUUCCUCCAUCCAACACACUAAACCAUUAAAGCCAAUCUUCUUCCUUUGUUGCUGCUGCACAGGUGGCACCAAAGCUGAGAGUUCUUUCUUUUCUGCCUUUUGUUAUCUCUCACGCAGACUUUCUGUCUCUGGAGACUGGUUUCUUUCCUGCCCGCUUUCUUUCCAUGAAUAUAAAGAAUACUGAAGAACUGUUCCCUCUAGAAGUCAUAGUAAACAGGGUUCUCUACAACUAAGACUUCAGGACUAAAACAUUCAUGUAUAUAUGAAAGUUACUGCAAUCUAAAAAAAACUUCUGUCCAGUAGCAUCAAUGUUUGUAGAGACAAGAAGAGAAAAGUGAGGGAGGUAAAUCAGUAAUACUGAAUCUUCUGAUAGACGCAUUCACUAUAAUCAGAAUUCAUUAAUUUUGAGGAAUUUGGAAAAAAACUGUUUUAUGAACUAAAUUAUAGAUUCAACCCAGUUUUUAGUAGUCUAAUUCACUUAGGGAUUAUAGAGAUGCUUUGAAACCCGAUGGCCCUGGAUUUGAAUGUCUGUUUCUAAGAGUAUUUUUGUACAUUUGGCAGUAGUGUUUUAGGAGUGCUCUGUCUCAUGUUAGGAUCUAUGAAACAGUACUGUCGGGUGUUUAUUAUUCAUUCAUCUCAAUUGCUAGAGUAGAGACACUGGAGUUAUUGUCCACCUUCACUUUAAACAGAGAAACUGCUGCUAAGGGACUGGCGCAGAGUUGCCUGUCAUCUACCCAAUUCAUUUUCAAGCGCUGACACUUGGCAGAGACUUGCCAUGACUCCCCAGUUCUGUGCUGCUUCUCUCAGAUAAGGAUGGAAAAUAAUGACUCAUCUCAACAGUUUUAGAAAUAAGUUAAUGAGAAAUUAAUGUACCCUGAUUUAAAGGACUCUUAAAAAUUACUAUUAUAUACUACACAAAAUAGUACUAUUGUCAUUCCUAAAAAUGUUUUCAGAGUGCCUGUGUUUUUAUCUUUCUAUACAUUCAGGUAAAAUUAUUUUAAUACACUGAAUUUAUAUACACACAUAUAAAAAUUUAAUAAGUAGUUUUUUUUCCUCUUACAGUACCAUGAAAGGAUUAUAAUGGCCAUUUUUUUACCAAAUCCUUAAAUGCAUGCAUUAGGCUUAACCAUAUGAUUACUUAUCGACUUUGAGACUGAAAUAAAUUGUCAAAACAGGCACUUCAAAGCACUUACCAUAUAGAUACAAAAGAAGUUUAAGGCAUUAUAUUUAACCAAUCAUUAUAUAAAAUUCCCAAGCAAAAAUAUAAUGUAAAAUGAGAGCCAAUUUCAUCAGCUCAUUUUGUCACAAUACUGAAGUUUAAAGUGUUAAGAAUGUAAUGAUUUUCUAUUAAAUAUGGUUCUGUAGUCCUAUGAAUCAUGUUAAACCAUCAUUCAAAAGAUAACAUCAGUUAUUGCUUUAAUGUGGGUACCAUCUUUGUAAACAAGAACAAAAAGUAAAAGAAAGAAUUCUAUUUUCUUUGUGAUUUUAAUGAUUAAUUCAUGUUAUCACUAUUACAGGUGAAUUAUAAUUCUUACUUAAAUAAAAAGAAAAUGAGGGAAUUCAGUGUGAAAUUUGUACAUGAUUUCUGUUUAUAGUCCUUCUUCUAACUCUCUGUUGGCAUAGGGAAU